AUGGAAUACAGGAGUCGGCGGCCACCACUCACCGCCCACCGCCAACAUGAUUUGAGGGGUCGGACGUCAGUGUUGUUCUCGCCACCUCCCCCUGGCGUGAACGCGCCGUUUUUCAUUUGCGCCGUCGACCGUGCUAUAUCGGCACUUAUAGUUUGCGACGCACUAACCGCCGCCAUCUACUCGGCGGCACUAUUAAUGGAGCCGGAUUUUAUCAUUGUAUACGAGCCAUCAAUGUCAGUUUCAGAUACAAACCUUCAUAAUGGAGAAAAGCCCAUCUCCAAAAUUACUGAUGCGGAACUCGCCGAAAAGCAUGGUCAUAUGAAGUUAGUAUGCUCACAGACAAGGUUCGGAAAUACCAUGAAACUGUUGUCACCAGACCACAAAAACUACAUCAUAUCAGAAACCAGUCUUGGCGGUCUAACCCAGAUGCAUGAAGUGACUCUAAGGCGCAUAAUGUUGGUUAGACUAGCCAAGAGCAUAGAUAUGAACAUUCAAUCCAUUACCAUUGAUAAAACGCCAAUUCCUAUAACAAAAGAGGACGUGCAGUGUAUAUUUGGCAUUCCGAUAGAAGGGGAGGAUAUAGAGCCACAUCUGGAAAUGCAAACUGACACAGAAUUGUUUACUGCCUAUGCAAACAAUGGGCAAAUUUUGAUUUCUGACCUUGAAACGGCGAUCCGAGCUUCCAAAGCCCCAGACGGCGAUUUCCUGAGACGGUUCAUUCUGUAUGCAAUUGGUACUGUUCUAGCACCAACAACACAACAUUAUGUGGACUCGAAAUUUCUCAACCUUGUUACAGAUCUUGAAAACCUUCGGAAAUUUAAUUGGGGAUGUUUCACACUUAAUCACUUCUUCAAGUCCGUUCACAAGUUUAGAAAACGAGAUCACGUAAAUCUACAAGGAAAUCUAAUUCGGCUCCAGAUUGACAUGGAAAUUGAAGCCAUGAAUGCACGCAUUGCUGAUCAUGAAAAGAAGGUAGGCAGGGAGUUAAUGGAAAUUGAGCACAGAUUUGAUGUCAAAUACCAGACGCUCGGUGAAGAGUUGAUCGACAUGAAGACUAAAACUGGCACUAAUCCUAGGUUGUCGAAGGCCGAGGACGACAUUAAAGACUUAAGGAGGGAACUCCAUGAUCAAGUCAAUGUGUGCAAUUCAUCCCUGACAAGAACUCCUAGGGCUAGCCAAUUCACGGCAGGGAUUUCGAGUACACCAAGUGCAAGACAUGUGACGGAAAACAUCGAGGAACCACAAUUAACUCCGAUGAAGCCUGUCUUUGGUAAUGAUUACAAGUUCACGGAUGAGGACAUAGAGACAACCAUUUACAUCCGCGGAACAUACGACCCUGUUGAAAUAGUUAGAAUCGGAGACAUUAGCCUCACAGCAGCAAAUCUGAAGCGAAAUUUGGACGACAAAUACAUUUAUGGUGAUGUUAUUAUGGCAUAUGCUCGCAUUAGCCAAAUUGAGAAUGAUACUACCUCAAUCAUAUCCCCUCAAGAAACCGAAAAGUUGUUACAAAUGCAGGGGGUGGUUCCUGUUGGACGUGAAGCCUCAUGGUUAUCUCGUGUAGCAGAAAAAUUUGUAGGGCGCCGAAAGACUCUGAACUCCAUGAAUUAUCAUUGCGACAAGACUAAGGAAGAUUCUCUUCUUGAAAGCUAUGCUAACAAGGAGGUGUACGAAGCCCAGCAAGCAGUUCUACCUGAUGGUUCAGAAGACGACGUACAAUUAGUCAACAAUCCUGAUGGUUUCAACGAACCCGACACAUCCAACUCCCAGAAGGAUACCGGUGCACCCAACUCCCCCUAA
RNAcentral lists this ribosomal RNA (1797 nucleotides) under Triticum aestivum (bread wheat). Its description in RNAcentral is "partial small subunit ribosomal RNA". The record is from RNAcentral. Lineage: Eukaryota; Viridiplantae; Streptophyta; Magnoliopsida; Poales; Poaceae.